Molecule: small nucleolar RNA, 72 nt
Organism: Molossus molossus (Pallas's mastiff bat)
Lineage: Eukaryota; Metazoa; Chordata; Mammalia; Chiroptera; Molossidae
Product: small nucleolar RNA SNORD113/SNORD114 family
Exons: 1
Source: RefSeq, a predicted model, not a curated record
UGGACCAGUGAUGAGCAUUCUUGGGUGUCUGAAUCAAUGAUUGUGAUUAAAUUUUAUAACUCUGAGGUCAGA